RNAcentral lists this ribosomal RNA (582 nucleotides) under Saccharomyces cerevisiae (brewer's yeast). Its description in RNAcentral is "eukaryotic LSU rRNA". It matches the Rfam family "Eukaryotic large subunit ribosomal RNA", at positions 64 to 660 of the family's 3401-position model. Lineage: Eukaryota; Fungi; Ascomycota; Saccharomycetes; Saccharomycetales; Saccharomycetaceae. The record is from RNAcentral.
ACCACCCGGGUAUUGCCUUAGUAACGGCGAGUGAAGCGGCAAAGCUCAAAUUUGAAAUCUGGUACCUUCGGUGCCCGAGUUGUAAUUUGGAGAGGGCAACUUUGGGGCCGUUCCUUGUCUAUGUUCCUUGGAACAGGACGUCAUAGAGGGUGAGAAUCCCGUGUGGCGAGGAGUGCGGUUCUUUGUAAAGUGCCUUCGAAGAGUCGAGUUGUUUGGGAAUGCAGCUCUAAGUGGGUGGUAAAUUCCAUCUAAAGCUAAAUAUUGGCGAGAGACCGAUAGCGAACAAGUACAGUGAUGGAAAGAUGAAAAGAACUUUGAAAAGAGAGUGAAAAAGUACGUGAAAUUGUUGAAAGGGAAGGGCAUUUGAUCAGACAUGGUGUUUUGUGCCCUCUGCUCCUUGUGGGUAGGGGAAUCUCGCAUUUCACUGGGCCAGCAUCAGUUUUGGUGGCAGGAUAAAUCCAUAGGAAUGUAGCUUGCCUCGGUAAGUAUUAUAGCCUGUGGGAAUACUGCCAGCUGGGACUGAGGACUGCGACGUAAGUCAAGGAUGCUGGCAUAAUGGUUAUAUGCCGCCCGUCUUGAACC